Molecule: ribosomal RNA, 145 nt
Filed under: uncultured bacterium
Lineage: Bacteria
Description: partial 16S ribosomal RNA
Rfam family: Bacterial small subunit ribosomal RNA
Source: RNAcentral
GUGACCCAGCAACGCCGCGUGGAGGAUGAAUGCCGUAAGGUUGUAAACUCCUUUUGAAGAGGACGAAUAGCACCGAUCGACUCGGUGUUUGACUGUACUCUUAGAAGAAGCCCCGGCUAACUACGUGCCAGCAGCCGCGGUAAUA